This 253-nucleotide ribosomal RNA is filed under the name uncultured bacterium. RNAcentral describes it as "partial 16S ribosomal RNA". It matches the Rfam family "Bacterial small subunit ribosomal RNA", at positions 524 to 776 of the family's 1533-position model. The record is from RNAcentral.
UACGUAGGGUGCGAGCGUUGUCCGGAAUUAUUGGGGCGUAAAGGGCUCGUAGGCGGUUUGUCGCGUCGGGAGUGAAAUCCACUGGCUUAACUGGUGGCUUGCUUUCGAUACGGGCAGACUGGAGGUAUGCAGGGGAGAACGGAAUUCCUGGUGUAGCGGUGAAAUGCGCAGAUAUCAGGAGGAACACCGGUGGCGAAGGCGGUUCUCUGGGCAUGUCCUGACGUGAGGAGCGAAAGCGUGGGGAGCGAACAGG